CGGCGCACGGGUGAGCAACACGUGGGUAACCUACCCCGAGAUCCGGGACAACAUUCCGAAAGGAGUGCUAAUACCUGAUAAGACCACGGGAGCUGCGGCUCCUGGGGUAAAAGACGGCCUCUGCUUGCAAGCUGUCGUCUUGGGAGGGGCCUGCGCACCAUUAGCUAGUUGGUAGGGUAAUGGCCUACCAAGGCUAUGAUGGUUAGCUGGUCUUAGUGGAUGACCAGCCACACUGGAACUGACACACGGUCCAGACUCCUACGGGAGGCAGCAGUGGGGAAUAUUGCGCAAUGGGGGAAACCCUGACGCAGCGACGCCGCGUGGGUGAUGAAGGCCUUCGGGUCGUAAAACCCUGUCAAGUGGAGCGAAAAAGUCCGGGGUGAAUAAUCCCGGGCCUUGACGGUACCACCUGAGGAAGCACCGGCUAACUCCGUGCCAGCAGCCGCGGUAAGACGGAGGGUGCGAGCGUUGUUCGGAAUUACUGGGCGUAAAGCGCGUGUAGGCGGUCUGAUAGGUCGGGUGUGAAAGCCCUCGGCCCAACCGAGGAACUGUGCCCGAAACCACCAGACUAGAGUGCGGGAGGGGGAAGUGGAAUUCCCAGUGUAGAGGUGAAAUUCGUAGAUAUUGGGAGGAACACCGGUGGCGAAAGCGACUUCCUGGACCGACACUGACGCUGAGACGCGAAAGCGUGGGGAGCAAACAGGAUUAGAUACCCUGGUAGUCCACGCCGUAACGAUGGGUGCUAGGUGUUGUGGGUAUUGACCCCUACAGUGCCGCAGCUAACGCAAUAAGCACCUCGCCUGGGAAGUACGGCCGCAAGGUUAAAACUCAAGGAAUUGACGGGGGCCCGCACAGCGGUGGAGUAUGUGGUUUAAUUCG
This 879-nucleotide ribosomal RNA is filed under the name uncultured bacterium. RNAcentral's name for it is "bacterial SSU rRNA". It matches the Rfam family "Bacterial small subunit ribosomal RNA", at positions 96 to 953 of the family's 1533-position model. The record is from RNAcentral.